Papaver somniferum (opium poppy) is the source of this 2459-nucleotide long non-coding RNA. RefSeq lists it as uncharacterized. The transcript is spliced from 4 exons. Lineage: Eukaryota; Viridiplantae; Streptophyta; Magnoliopsida; Ranunculales; Papaveraceae. The record is from RefSeq and is a predicted model, not a curated record.
AAACUAAAUCCUUUUAAAAAGGAAAUCGUUGACACCAAAAAAAAAAAAAAAAUCGUUUCAAAAUAAAAACUUUGCGGAGAAACCAGGGAACAUACCAUCGGUUUGUUGUACUAAAUCUAAGAAGAGAUUUUACACAAAUUCUUAGAUGUGUUCCAAUCCACCAAGAUUUUAAUAAAAUUGAGAAAGCAAAACAAUAUUCGUUGUGGAUGAUAACAGAGAUUUUACAAAAAUCUUAGAGAAUCUCCAUCAUCAAUAAAGCAUCUCUAAGCUUCUGGAUAUUUUUUACAGGUUGAUGCAAAUAAACCUUUUCCUUGAGGAUCGUUCGAGCAAAUCUCUUUUACUUCAAAUUCUUCAGGGCUGCUGGGAAUUGUUAUAGGAGAUAGCGUAACUAUUUGCAAAUCCAAUUGCAAGGAUGUGGUAUUUUGACAGUUGGGGUUUCCGCAAUUGAAGAUCCAAUAUUGUGGAGAAGAGUUAGAAAGAAUCACAAUCAAUGAAUCUAAAAAUUCAGGUCUCUCUGUUUUCUGUUGAUGUUGGUGUUACUAAAUCUAAGAAGUAAGAAUUUGUAUCGGGUGCAGUCGGUUUAUAGUCAUUUGUUAUUAAGUUCUCCAUUUAUUUUCCUUCUAUUGGUUAGUUCACUAUUUUCUACAACUCUAAUUUACACCUAAAAUGUCCUAUUUAAUUAGCCAUGCAUGAGAGAUUUAUAUAUAUAUGCUACUUGCAGGACUAUUGAUGUCUUUUUCUUUUCUUUUUUUUUGAUCGGUAAAGUGCAGGACUAUUGAUGUUGCUGCACACUUACAUACAAUGAUAAUGGAACUGUGGAAAACUGUAAAGAUCUAGAGAUAUUUGAAUAUAAGGACGUCACUGUAAAAGACAGUGUCAAGAACCAUGGAUAGUGGUAUUGAAGACUUGGAAUUGGACGAUUACACAGCAACGGAACCACCAAUGAUAGAUGUCGGGUACAUUUUAAAAUGUUAUUGUUCUCCGCUUAGGAAUGCUGGAUCUGCACUAGACCAUUCACCAUUUUUCGGUAGUGGCAAAGUCGUGAUAGAUGCAAAAUACCGAGAUAUUUGAGGACAGGUAUGCUCUUCUUCGUCAAUUUGGCUUGAAUCCCAGGUUGGACUGUAAUCUUAUUGAUUUCCCAUCUCUAUUAAAAACCAUGGAUAGUGGUUUAAUUAACACCAUAACCAAGUCUUAACUAACUCUUUUUGAUGAGAGUGUACUGACUAAUAGAUACAAUAUAUAGCUCAUUGGAUUAGCCUAUUUUAGUGUAAUUUAAUUGAGAGUGUACUGACUGGAUAAUACAUUGGAAUCAUGUGCAUGUUAUUAAUUAGAAAUUGUUUUUUCACUUCUUCAUUUUCUUGGUCUUAGUUUUGUUUCCUUAGUUAUCAGAUUGCAGUUUGAGUUAAUCAACCAUUGGCGCUAACAGAUUCAACUGAAAAAAUCAAGUGAGGUGCUUGACAUAAAAGAAAGAGAGUGAAUGACUGGAGCUGGCAUUCCUUCUUCUUACGAUCUUCAAUCGACUGUUUGUGGUUCUGUUGUGUUCGCCUAAUCCAAUUCCUUACAUAUCUACUUAUUCUUAUCAAUGGAUAUUUGAAUUUGUCGACUAUAUAUUGGCACAGUAAGUGUUAUUUAAACUAUAAUUUAUGUUAAUUCGAAUAAUUACUUUGUGGUCUUAGAGUGAAUUUGCAGAUAUUAUGAUGAGUAAUCCACUGCAAAUACAUUUUCUUAUUGUUAGAAGUCAGUUGUGAAAAUUUUAAGUUUUGGAUAAUCUCAACAACUUUUAGUAUCUCAACUUGCAGACACCAAAAACAACUCUUUCACUCUGUGAGUCCUACAAAGUAGUAAAAGUAAUUGAAAAUAGUGUAUUAAUGACCAAAAAUAGCAAGAAGAGGAGAACAUAAUGGGCAUGGAGGUUUCAUACAAAAUUAGCCUCCACCUUUUGAUGCUAGAGAUGUUUUUGAUGCUCAUAACUUAGGAAUAGCAGUGGGUCAUAUGCUUAAAGAAACUUCAGUUCAUUGUCCCUUAGGUUACUUACUAAUCCUAUGUUCUAGACAAUGCAACUAAUGAUUUUCUUUGCGAAGCAACUGUUUUUUUUUUCAACAGAAAUUCUUUUGGGAUUGAAACAUGUACGUGAAGUUGAUAAAAGAGUGAUUUUUGUUGUCAAAUUGAAGGGAGAGAAUACCACUGCUGACUGAGAUGGUGAUGUAGACAAUAAAAGUGACAUAGUCUUUGCGUAGGAGGAGGUUCAAUGUGGACGACCUCCUACUGUUCUCUCUGACAAGUUGAUUGAAGUGCGGUAUCGAUAAAUUGGCCGUUGUUGGCAUCCAUGUGGUAAUUAUGUGGCUGUACGCAGUACGUAGUUGAUGCAGUAAAUAAUAUUUGUAUUCAGAGUUCUCAAAUUGGUUUAUCGCUGUUUGCGUUUAAGUGAAUAAAAUCUCGGUAACCUUUUUUUGUUGUGA